GGAGAUUAAUACCGCAUAAUAUUACAGCUUCGCAUGAAGCAGUAAUUAAAGGAGUAAUCCGCUUUGAGAUGGACCCGCGGCGCAUUAGCUAGUUGGAGAGGUAACGGCUCACCAAGGCGACGAUGCGUAGCCGACCUGAGAGGGUGAUCGGCCACAUUGGAACUGAGACACGGUCCAGACUCCUACGGGAGGCAGCAGUGGGGAAUAUUGCACAAUGGGCGAAAGCCUGAUGCAGCAACGCCGCGUGAGUGAUGACGGUCUUCGGAUUGUAAAGCUCUGUCUUUUGGGACGAUAAUGACGGUACCAAAGGAGGAAGCCACGGCUAACUACGUGCCAGCAGCCGCGGUAAUACGUAGGUGGCAAGCGUUGUCCGGAUUUACUGGGCGUAAAGGAUGUGUAGGCGGAUACUUAAGUGAGAUGUAAGCCCCGGGCUUAACCUGGGGACUGCAUUUCAAACUGGGUAUCUAGAGUGCAGGAGAGGAAAGCGGAAUUCCUAGUGUAGCGGUGAAAUGCGUAGAGAUUAGGAAGAACAUCAGUGGCGAAGGCGGCUUUCUGGACUGU
This 561-nucleotide ribosomal RNA is filed under the name Clostridium sp. Its description in RNAcentral is "bacterial SSU rRNA". It matches the Rfam family "Bacterial small subunit ribosomal RNA", at positions 158 to 737 of the family's 1533-position model. Lineage: Bacteria; Bacillati; Bacillota; Clostridia; Eubacteriales; Clostridiaceae. The record is from RNAcentral.